GACAGAGGGUGCAAACGUUGCUCGGAAUCACUGGGCGUAAAGGGCGUGUAGGCGGGCAGGUAAGUCGGGCGUGAAAUCCCUGGGCUCAACCCAGGAACUGCACUCGAAACGUACUUCGUCUUGAGUGUCGGAGAGGAAAGCGGAAUUCCUGGUGUAGAGGUGAAAUUCGUAGAUAGUCAGGAGGACACCAGUGGCGAAGGCGG
This 203-nucleotide ribosomal RNA is filed under the name uncultured bacterium. RNAcentral's name for it is "partial 16S ribosomal RNA". It matches the Rfam family "Bacterial small subunit ribosomal RNA", at positions 524 to 724 of the family's 1533-position model. The record is from RNAcentral.